GGAUUCCUGGAAAUACUGUUCUU
RNAcentral lists this non-coding RNA (23 nucleotides) under Columba livia (rock pigeon). Its record names the gene cli-miR-145-3p. The record is from miRBase by way of RNAcentral. RNAcentral also lists the same sequence under 4 other names. Lineage: Eukaryota; Metazoa; Chordata; Aves; Columbiformes; Columbidae.